UUUGGGUCAUUUAGAGGUAGUUUAAGACCUAACAAGGUUUCCGUAGGUGAACCUGCGGAAGGAUCAUUAAAGAGUAAGGGUGCUCAGCGCCCCACCUCCAACCCUUUCUUGUUAAAACUACCUUGUUGCUUUGGCGGGACCGCUCGGUCUCGAGCCGCUGGGGAUUCGUCCCAGGCGGGCGCCCGCCAGAGUUAAACCAAACUCUUGUUAUUUAACCGGUCGUCUGAGUUAAAAUUUUGAAUAAAUCAAAACUUUCUACAACGGAUCUCUUGGUUCUCGCAUCGAUGAAGAACGCAGCGAAAUGCGAUAAGUAAUGUGAAUUGGAGAAUUCAGUGAAUCAUCGAAUCUUUGAACGCACAUUGCGCCCCUUCCUAUUCCGAGGGGCAUGCCUGUUCGAGCGUCAUUACACCACUCAAGCCAUGCUUGGUAUUGGGCGUCGUCCUUAGUUGGGCCCCCUUAAAGACCUCGGCGCGGCCACUCCGGCUUUACGCGUAGUAGAAUUUAUUCGAACGUCUGUCAAAGGAGAGGAACUCUGCCGACUGAAACCUUUAUUUUUUUAGGUUGACCUCGGAUCAGGUAGGGAUACCCGCUGAACUUAAGCAUAUCAAUUUGCCGGGGGC
RNAcentral lists this ribosomal RNA (620 nucleotides) under Aureobasidium sp. Teo12. Its description in RNAcentral is "eukaryotic LSU rRNA". The stretch from base 250 to 403 matches the Rfam family "5.8S ribosomal RNA". The record is from RNAcentral. Lineage: Eukaryota; Fungi; Ascomycota; Dothideomycetes; Dothideales; Saccotheciaceae.